Molecule: non-coding RNA, 225 nt
Organism: Pelobates cultripes (western spadefoot toad)
Lineage: Eukaryota; Metazoa; Chordata; Amphibia; Anura; Pelobatidae
Source: the annotation of a GenBank genome assembly
GAGCAAUGAUUUCUAAACACAAAAAUUCAAAAAGUUAUACAAGGGACAAACAAAGAGAUCCACUUUCCUUGCAUCUGUGUUUAAAUAUGGAAGGGUUAAAUAUACUCAAAUAUAAUAACUUAUUCUUUACUUAUUCUGAUUUAAAGGCACCAUACAGAUUUUGGUCACAUUAUAUGUUGGAUGAUAGCCACUUCCAUAUAAAAGUUUCCAGGAAUCUCUAAGUUU